UGUCAUAAGCAUAUAAAUAUAAGAAUUAUAUUUUUGAUAAACUACUGUACAUAUGAAAUACUAAUUACAACAUACACAUAAUCGGAAGCGGAUUGUCUCCCGUGAAGUUUCUCUCCAGUCUUCUCCUGUGCAAUCUUAGUCUUUCCUUUUUAAAGACAUAUAUCAACGGCUACGGUUAAAACCAAUUAAAUCACAGAUUUUGUCUCUUUCACAAACCAUUUUCUGCUCCAUCCUGCACAGGUUUGCGACGGUGUGGGGAAGUUGCGAUUGAAACCACGGCCGUGCACGAAUACGUACAUUUCUCACAGCGGAUCUUGAAGGUUAAAAUGGCAAACACAUUUUCAAAUACGAUCUCUAACUUCUCUGCGAAUACGUACGUACCUAUUCUCUCGCUGUCUUCUCUGUUUAGGGUUUCAUUCUCACUUUCAAAUUGGUACUCACCGUAAUCCACCAUGGUGGUGCGCCUCCGCCGCACAACAUAAGGAAAAAAGGAUUUUGAAGGAAGAUGGAAAAUAGAGAAGGAAGGACAACCGUCGUUGUUGUGGUUUGCCGCCACACGUCUCCACCGCGCAACCACCGUCAUUACUAUUCCGCCGCCGCUGUUGAGAUGGGUUUGGGAGGAAAGUGGGUUGAGAUGGGUUUCUGAAAUUAAGAGUGAAUGAAUGGCAAAGAAACAACGUGAGGAAGGACAUAAAAGAAACGAAUGAACUUGUAAAAUAAAAAAUAAAAAAAUGAAUGAAGGACUAAGAUUAAUUAAGAUGUCAUUAAAAGGAAUGGAUGGCUAAGAUUAUUUCACAGGAGAAAACAGGAGAAAAUUUCCACUGGAGUGGAUCCUCUCCCCACAUAAUCCUUCCAUAAUGUAUAGGAUCAUGCACCAUACACAUUUUCCAACUUUGGAAAAAUUCAUGGAAAUAAUCAUGUACCACUUUCCGAACUUGUAUAGGAUCCUCCAAUAAUACAGUGUCAUUUUUAUCAUGAAUUUUCUCAAAUUUACUUCUCAUCUUCCUGCAAGUAGAAGAUGCAUGAAAAACGUGAAUUGACAUCUCCAUCUUUGAGUCAAAAACUUCCCUUAUCAUGUUACGUGUUUAAACGGAUGAUUUUAUAAAACUUAGUGUGAACAAAACAUGCAAUUAAUAAGAUUUGUUUGUAAAGCAAAGUUGUACGGUAAAGUCUUCC
This 1176-nucleotide long non-coding RNA is filed under the name Medicago truncatula (barrel medic). Its description in RNAcentral is "long non-coding RNA (MTRU_LNC001028)". Lineage: Eukaryota; Viridiplantae; Streptophyta; Magnoliopsida; Fabales; Fabaceae. The record is from RNAcentral.